CUUCUUUAUUUUUCUCUUAUCUUUUCUUCUCUUUUAUUUUCGUUUCUUUCUGGGAAAAGUCUUACUACGAAGGCCUGGGGGACGUCCAACUCAUUAAUUUCCUUGCCUCAGAUUUCCAAGUGCUAAGAUUGCAGACCUGCUCUUCCACUCCUGAUUUCCCGGACUCUUCUUGACAAUACAAGGCAAGAAUGGUAUCCAGUUUGCUCAUCACACCACGUGCUCAGUAGAUCCCAGCGACUAAGUGACUGGACUUCCAAGAUGACACAGCUCCUGGCUCACAAAGCAGCACUGUGGGAUGCUAGAAAAGUUUCUGUGGAGGACAACAGUCAACGUGGAUGGCAUUGCAAACCCAAAGGACCCGCUUACCUCUAGUUCACUAAGGCCAGCUGUCUGUCCGUCUUUGCUUUACCAAGGAGCAGGACUUUCAGGGCAGGCACAAGAGAAUAGCAGAUGCGCUCGUGGCUCAGUUGCAAAGGAGCUGGAAGCAAGACCCACAGUUCCUAAGGCUCUUUUCAUUGUAUUCUGACUUUAACAAGAAGCUGCUUAGGCUCUGAGGCAGAAUUGGGUUUAGAAAGCCCCUUUUCUUCUGGCAUAGAUGGGAGGUGCUGUCCAGGCCCACUCCUUACUGAGCAGCUAUUGACAGUCGAUAGAUACUAGAGAAGAUACUAGUCGUAUGUCUCUGUCUGUCUCUGUUUCUCUGUCUGUCUCUGUCUCUCUGUCUCUCUGUCUUCUCUUCUCUUUUUAUUUUUAUUUUAUUUAUUUAUUUUUUGUAUUUAUUAUGUAUACAUCAGCUUUCUGCCUGCAUGUAUGCCUGCAGGCCAGAAGAGGGCAUCAGAUUUCAUUACAGAUGGUUGUGAGCCACCAUGUGGUUGCUGGGAAUUGAACUCAGGACCUCUGGAAGAGCAGACAGUGUUCUUAACCUCUGAGCCAUCUCUCUAGCCCCCUCUUCUCUUUUUAAAGCAUAUGUGGCCACUGGUCGAUCUCCCAGGCUCCAGUGAAUGGCAACCAUGCACAUAUGGGCAGCUCUAAUUGGACUUAGUGGGUCAUCACCAAAAGGACAUGAGAUUCAAAGCAGCCAUUUUGGAAGUAAUUUGGGGAAACUGGAGAGAGAAUGGGUAUAGAUAUAAUCAUGUAGGAAAUUCUCAAGAAUAAAGAAAAAUUAACAAAGAAACCUUGCUUUGCGGCUGGUUUGAAUGCAUUGACUAAAAGCAAAAUGAAACAAAAGUGCUCUCAGUACUUCUGUGAUGCUGAAGAAACUGCGUUUUAUGCUAGGGAUCCAUUUUGGUAAUCACUAGCCAUUUGUCUGUGACUCUGGGCCCUGUAAGAUGGGUUUCCAGUUACCCUGACUGAAUGAGCUGUACCCCAAAGUGUGCAGCUCCAACUAUCCACUUGUCAUGACCAACUGCUGUUUUGCUUCUACAACUUUCUUACGCAGAUACCCAAAGAUUGUUUCAGGUCGCCUUAACCACUUAACCUGGUAGAACAGACCAGUUUUUGCUUGUUUUCAUAGACAGUGAAGGCCUUUAAAAAUUCUUCCUUCAGGGGCUGGAGAGAUGGCUCAGCGGUUAAGAGCACCCGACUGCUCUUCCAGAGGUCAUGAGUUCAAUUCCCAGCAACCACAUGGUGGCUCACAACCAUCUGUAAAGAGAUACGAUGCCCUCUUCUGUAUCUGAAGACAGCUACAGUGUACUUAUAUAUAAUAAAUAAAUAAAUCUUUAAAAAAAAAA
Rattus norvegicus (Norway rat) is the source of this 1727-nucleotide long non-coding RNA. RefSeq lists it as uncharacterized. Lineage: Eukaryota; Metazoa; Chordata; Mammalia; Rodentia; Muridae. The record is from RefSeq and is a predicted model, not a curated record.